Molecule: ribosomal RNA, 460 nt
Filed under: uncultured bacterium
Lineage: Bacteria
Description: partial 16S ribosomal RNA
Rfam family: Bacterial small subunit ribosomal RNA
Source: RNAcentral
CCUACGGGAGGCAGCAGUGAGGAAUAUUGGUCAAUGGACGAGAGUCUGAACCAGCCAAGUAGCGUGAAGGAUGACUGCCCUAUGGGUUGUAAACUUCUUUUAUAUGGGAAUAAAACGUUCCACGUGUGGGAUUUUGUAUGUACCAUAUGAAUAAGGAUCGGCUAACUCCGUGCCAGCAGCCGCGGUAAUCCGGAGGAUCCGAGCGUUAUCCGGAUUUAUUGGGUUUAAAGGGAGCGUAGGUGGGUUGUUAAGUCAGUUGUGAAAGUGUGGGGCUUAACCGUAAAAUUGCAGUUGAAACUGGCAGUCUAGAGUACAGUAGAGGUGGGCGGAAUUCGUGGUGUAGCGGUGAAAUGCUUAGAUAUCACGAAGAACUCCGAUUGCGAAGGCAGUUCACUGGACUGCAACUGACACUGAGGCGCGAAAGUAUGGGUAUCAAACAGGAUUAGAUACCCCUGUAGUC